This 701-nucleotide ribosomal RNA is filed under the name Pseudomonadota bacterium. Its description in RNAcentral is "bacterial SSU rRNA". It matches the Rfam family "Bacterial small subunit ribosomal RNA", at positions 28 to 723 of the family's 1533-position model. Lineage: Bacteria; Pseudomonadati; Pseudomonadota. The record is from RNAcentral.
AUUGAACGCUGGCGGCAUGCCUUACACAUGCAAGUCGAACGGCAGCACGGGUGCUUGCACCUGGUGGCGAGUGGCGAACGGGUGAGUAAUACAUCGGAACGUACCUUAUCGUGGGGGAUAACGCAGCGAAAGUUGCGCUAAUACCGCAUACGCCCUGAGGGGGAAAGCGGGGGACCGUAAGGCCUCGCGCGAUUAGAGCGGCCGAUGUCUGAUUAGCUUGUUGGUGAGGUAAAAGCUCACCAAGGCGAUGAUCAGUAGCUGGUCUGAGAGGACGAUCAGCCACACUGGGACUGAGACACGGCCCAGACUCCUACGGGAGGCAGCAGUGGGGAAUUUUGGACAAUGGGGGCAACCCUGAUCCAGCAAUGCCGCGUGAGUGAAGAAGGCCUUCGGGUUGUAAAGCUCUUUUGUCAGGGAAGAAACAGCAGCUCUAACACAGACUGCGAAUGACGGUACCUGAAGAAUAAGCACCGGCUAACUACGUGCCAGCAGCCGCGGUAAUACGUAGGGUGCGAGCGUUAAUCGGAAUUACUGGGCGUAAAGCGUGCGCAGGCGGUUAUACAAGACAGGCGUGAAAUCCCCGGGCUUAACCUGGGAAUGGCGUCUGUGACUGUAUAGCUAGAGUGUGUCAGAGGGGGGUGGAAUUCCACGUGUAGCAGUGAAAUGCGUAGAUAUGUGGAGGAACACCAAUGGCGAAGGCA